CACGUAGGGGGCAAGCGUUGUCCGGAUUUAUUGGGCGUAAAGAGCUCGUAGGCGGCUUAGUAAGUCGGGUGUGAAACCUCCAGGCUCAACCUGGAGACGCCACCCGAUACUGCUGUGGCUAGAGUCCGGUAGGGGAGCGUGGAAUUCCAGGUGUAGCGGUGAAAUGCGUAGAUAUCUGGAGGAACACCGGUGGCGAAGGCGGCAUCCUGGACCGGCAUUGACGCUGAGGCGCGAAAGCUAGGGGAGCAAACGGGG
Molecule: ribosomal RNA, 255 nt
Filed under: uncultured bacterium
Lineage: Bacteria
Description: partial 16S ribosomal RNA
Rfam family: Bacterial small subunit ribosomal RNA
Source: RNAcentral